UUGGUGUUUAUAGCAUAAUGGAACCACUCUGAACCAUUCCGAACUCAGAUGUGAAACGUUAUAGCGGCGAUGAUACUAAGGGGGGAGCCCCUUGGAAAAGUAGCUCAAUGCCAA
This 114-nucleotide ribosomal RNA is filed under the name Pseudoerythrocladia kornmannii. Lineage: Eukaryota; Rhodophyta; Compsopogonophyceae; Erythropeltidales; Erythrotrichiaceae. The record is from RNAcentral.